UACGUAGGUGACAAGCGUUAUCCGGAUUUAUUGGGCGUAAAGCGCACGCAGGCGGUCUAUCAAGUCUGACGUGAAAUCUCUCGGCUUAACCGGGAGCGGUCGUUUGGAAACUGAAGGACUUGAGGCGAUGAGAGGGGUGUGGAAUUCCCGGUGUAGCGGUGAAAUGCGCAGAUAUCGGGAGGAACACCGGUGGCGAAGGCGGUUCUCUGGACCGUAACUGACGCUGAGGCGCGAAAGCGUGGGGAGCAAACAGG
This 254-nucleotide ribosomal RNA is filed under the name uncultured bacterium. RNAcentral's name for it is "partial 16S ribosomal RNA". It matches the Rfam family "Bacterial small subunit ribosomal RNA", at positions 524 to 776 of the family's 1533-position model. The record is from RNAcentral.